Molecule: ribosomal RNA, 427 nt
Filed under: uncultured Massilia sp.
Lineage: Bacteria; Pseudomonadati; Pseudomonadota; Betaproteobacteria; Burkholderiales; Oxalobacteraceae
Description: bacterial SSU rRNA
Rfam family: Bacterial small subunit ribosomal RNA
Source: RNAcentral
AGUGGGGAAUUUUGGACAAUGGGCGCAAGCCUGAUCCAGCAAUGCCGCGUGAGUGAAGAAGGCCUUCGGGUUGUAAAGCUCUUUUGUCAGGGAAGAAACGGUAGAGGCUAAUAUCCUUUGCUAAUGACGGUACCUGAAGAAUAAGCACCGGCUAACUACGUGCCAGCAGCCGCGGUAAUACGUAGGGUGCAAGCGUUAAUCGGAAUUACUGGGCGUAAAGCGUGCGCAGGCGGUUUUGUAAGUCUGACGUGAAAUCCCCGGGCUCAACCUGGGAAUUGCGUUGGAGACUGCAAGGCUAGAAUCUGGCAGAGGGGGGUAGAAUUCCACGUGUAGCAGUGAAAUGCGUAGAGAUGUGGAGGAACACCGAUGGCGAAGGCAGCCCCCUGGGUCAAGAUUGACGCUCAUGCACGAAAGCGUGGGGAGCAAA